This 253-nucleotide ribosomal RNA is filed under the name uncultured Anaeromyxobacter sp. RNAcentral's name for it is "partial 16S ribosomal RNA". It matches the Rfam family "Bacterial small subunit ribosomal RNA", at positions 524 to 776 of the family's 1533-position model. Lineage: Bacteria; Pseudomonadati; Myxococcota; Myxococcia; Myxococcales; Anaeromyxobacteraceae. The record is from RNAcentral.
UACAGAGGGUGCGAGCGUUGUUCGGAAUUAUUGGGCGUAAAGCGAGUGUAGGCGGGAUCGUAUGUCGGGCGUGAAAGCCCUCGGCUCAACCGAGGAAGUGCGCACGAAACUGCGGUUCUUGAGUGUCGGAGAGGGUGACGGAAUUCCCGGUGUAGAGGUGAAAUUCGUAGAUAUCGGGAGGAACACCAGUGGCGAAGGCGGUCACCUGGACGAACACUGACGCUGAGACUCGAAAGCGUGGGUAGCAAACAGG